AUUGAACGCUGGCGGCAUGCCUAACACAUGCAAGUCGAGCGGAUGAAGGGAGCUUGCUCCUGGAUUCAGCGGCGGACGGGUGAGUAAUUCCUAGGAAUCUGCCUGGUAGUGGGGGAUAACGUCCGGAAACGGGCGCUAAUACCGCAUACGUCCUGAGGUAGAAAGUGGGGGAUCUUCGGACCUCACGCUAUCAGAUGAGCCUAGGUCGGAUUAGCUAGUUGGUGGGGUAAAGGCCUACCAAGGCGACGAUCCGUAACUGGUCUGAGAGGAUGAUCAGUCACACUGGAACUGAGACACGGUCCAGACUCCUACGGGAGGCAGCAGUGGGGAAUAUUGGACAAUGGGCGAAAGCCUGAUCCAGCCAUGCCGCGUGUGUGAAGAAGGUCUUCGGAUUGUAAAGCACUUUAAGUUGGGAGGAAGGGCAGUAAGUUAAUACCUUGCUGUUUUGACGUUACCAAAAGAAUAAGCACCGGCUAACUUCGUG
RNAcentral lists this ribosomal RNA (484 nucleotides) under uncultured bacterium. RNAcentral describes it as "partial 16S ribosomal RNA". It matches the Rfam family "Bacterial small subunit ribosomal RNA", at positions 30 to 507 of the family's 1533-position model. The record is from RNAcentral.